CCUAUGUGUAUGUAGGAGUGAAAGUGAGAGAGGUGGGAAGAGUGGAAGACAGACAGAGAGAUAGGAACAGAGAAAGACAGCAAAUGUACUUAGACUUGAGUAUUUCAACAACUCCUCUCUUUCAACUUGUUAGGCAAUCUCAUGUCCAUACGGUGGAUGGAUGGUCAGCCACGCAGGAGGGUGAUUUUUACUAAGGAGGAGAAGGAGGCCGUGCUGUCCGAGAUGCAUGCUGGCCAUUUCGGAGAGAAGCACAUGACAAGCAAAAUCAACCUAUGCUUCUUCUGACGGGGAAUUGAAAUAACCUUUUAUAAAUCACAUUCUAUUAUACCUGAAAUCAUUAUUAUUUCAAUGAAUGUCACAUCAGAGAGUACACUGUUUCAAUUUGUCACUUUUUGUCACCUAAAGGUCAGUACCCAGUCUAGCCUGCCAGAAGUUUGAGAGGGCGAAGACCGUGGCACCGGAGUUGUAGCCCAUCAAAGUUGUUUCACCAUGGGGUGGACCUCAUCAGACACUUCACGAAAUCCAGGAAUGGCAACAGCUGGUGUCUGACGGCGACCAAUUACUUUACCAAGAUGAGACUGUUGAGGCCACCUCAAGGCGAUGAAGAUCUUCAACUCCCACAGUUCUCCUGAGGCCAUCUUGAGUGAACGAGGUGAUGAAUGCUGGAACAAGGUACGGAUGUUAUAGAGUCGCAAUUCAACGGCUCAGACACAAGAGGUAUGUGGCAGGGUCUACAGUCAAUCACGGAUUACAAAAAGAAAACCAGCCCCG
Long non-coding RNA from Oncorhynchus kisutch (coho salmon), 771 nucleotides. RefSeq lists it as uncharacterized. The transcript has 3 exons. The record is from RefSeq and is a predicted model, not a curated record. Lineage: Eukaryota; Metazoa; Chordata; Actinopteri; Salmoniformes; Salmonidae.